ACUCCUACGGGAGGCAGCAGUUAGGAAUCUUCGGCAAUGGGCGAAAGCCUGACCGAGCGACGCCGCGUGAAGGACGAAGGCCUUCGGGUCGUAAACUUCUAAAAGAGGGACGAUAGUGACGGUACCUCUUGAAAAGCACCGGCUAACUCCGUGCCAGCAGCCGCGGUAAUA
This 171-nucleotide ribosomal RNA is filed under the name uncultured bacterium. RNAcentral describes it as "partial 16S ribosomal RNA". It matches the Rfam family "Bacterial small subunit ribosomal RNA", at positions 335 to 525 of the family's 1533-position model. The record is from RNAcentral.